This 826-nucleotide small RNA is filed under the name Pan troglodytes (chimpanzee). Its description in RNAcentral is "processed transcript". Lineage: Eukaryota; Metazoa; Chordata; Mammalia; Primates; Hominidae. The record is from RNAcentral.
UGGGCGAUAGACGCCUUCUUCUGUUUUUAUUUUUGGAGGGGAGCGCCCUGUAAUUGUCCUGAACACAUGCUUCCCCUCCUUCCUCCAGCCACCCGCGGAGGAGACAGUCCCCCUUUUUUGCAUUUAUCUUUUCCUUCCCCUUUCUUUAUUAAAGGUCCGGGAGUGGCGGCGGCCAAUCAGCGCGCGGCUUCCAUUUUGUGAGUUCAACUCCGAGGCUCCCGGGCUUCGCGAGGACGCGUUUGCAGCCCCCUCUGCCGCUCCUCUCUGGCGGCCGAGGCGCAGGAGCCGCCUCGCCGGGGCUCGGAGCUGGUGUAGCUCAUAUUGGGGCUCUUUUCGGGGUUUGUAAUUUGGCCGUGGGUAGGUAAUUGGCUGGAGCAGGGCGGCAGGGCGCGGCAGCCAAUCAGCGCGCGGCUUCUAUAGGGCUUGAGUUAUUAGACGCUGAUCUCAAAACAUCCUUCAUCAGACACGAAGGAGAGGCCAACAGAUGAGGGAAGCCAUUUUUCUGCAAUGGAAUUAAAUGGCCAAAGCAGUAAACAGUCCUCAGCGAAGCCGCCUUUUUGCCUACCCAACCCUGGAAAGUUUGCAGAAGUGGAAGGAGCAGAACGUGAGGGUGUAACUUACAAAAAGGUUCUGGGCCGGAGAAGGGGCGACGUUCGGGCACCCCCCGAAUGGACAAUCUUUCCUUCUGUCAACGGCAGGGGCAGGCCUAGUUUGACUCUGACAGUCCUCCCACUAAGCACUACGCCCCAUCGGUGUUCGAGAAGUACACGGCCAGCGUGACCGUUGGCAGCAAGGAGGUGACCCUGAACCUCUACGACACGGCCGG